UGCAAGCAGACGACGAAGUCUUCGUGCCGCCUAGUGAUGAAAACAGGGCUACUACAUCUGCUGCUGUGGAGGACGGAGGAUGUGUGCUGAGGAGGAGGGAAGAGAAGUGGAGCAGGCAGCUGGAGAAGACCAUGAGCCGAAACAACUUCAAGAAAUAAAGACACAGUGCUUCACAAGAAAAUGGAUAAAGCCUUUCUCUGUAUUAUGCGGAAUGACGUUCUUUUGCAGUUUCAUAAAGUGAUUUGAUUUGUUUUUUA
Molecule: long non-coding RNA, 257 nt
Organism: Thunnus maccoyii (southern bluefin tuna)
Lineage: Eukaryota; Metazoa; Chordata; Actinopteri; Scombriformes; Scombridae
Exons: 2
Source: RefSeq, a predicted model, not a curated record